RNAcentral lists this ribosomal RNA (253 nucleotides) under uncultured bacterium. Its description in RNAcentral is "partial 16S ribosomal RNA". It matches the Rfam family "Bacterial small subunit ribosomal RNA", at positions 524 to 776 of the family's 1533-position model. The record is from RNAcentral.
UACGUAGGGGGCAAGCGUUGUCCGGAUUUAUUGGGCGUAAAGAGCGUGUAGGCGGCUUUACAGGUCCGUUGUGAAAACUCGAGGCUCAACCUCGAGACGCCGGUGGAAACCGUAAAGCUAGAGUCCGGAAGAGGAGAGUGGAAUUCCUGGUGUAGCGGUGAAAUGCGCAGAUAUCAGGAGGAACACCUAUUGCGAAGGCAGCUCGCUGGGACGUUACUGACGCUGAGACGCGAAAGCGUGGGGAGCAAACAGG